CGGUCAACAUUUAACGAACACAACUGUCUGUAAAAAAUAGGGGACACGCCCACAAACAGCCGAUUGUGGGGACGCGGCGCGGCGACAGACGGCAGUCGCUGCGUAUAGUGUGGCUUCACCGUCAGAGCUUGUUCCAAUAGUGUGCAGCUGAGACUAGGUUAUGAAUCAUUAGUGCAUGCUUAUAAUACUUGGUUUGUUGUUGUUUUUCAGGUAGUUUGAAAAGGAUGUUGGCAUUAGGAAAAUCUUUACUUGCUGAAAUGUUCAAACUGAUAUGUUAUGUCAACGGCAUUGGCAGGCUAGCAAGCUAGUUAUUUGCAUGUGACGCCGAGGCUACAUGAAAGAGAAGCACUUGUCGCCUUCUUUCUUCUGUAUUACAGGGUUGUGAAGUCUUAACUUAUAUAACUACAUAUACAUGUUAUUUAAAAGGUUAAUUCCCAGUGAGGUCGAUUUGGUAAGGGUAAAAGUACUUCUGUAAUUUUGUGACCGAGUACAGAAAAUACGGGUUUCCUUUGUGCCGUGAUGAGCUAGAUGGCUGCACCGCGAAAUGGACUGUGUGCUGCCCACUGUCUCAAAGGCUGUGCUGUCCGCGUGCCUGCAUCUACCAACAUCUCCAAGACCCUAUGGAACAAGUUCCAUUUAUCAGACAUUAGGCUUUCCUUGCUCCAAUUUAGUGCCAGAGUUCUCCUUUACCAUUGUUGAGAAUAAUUUCAGAUUGCACCUUGCUGUAUUACACUGUCUAUUUCCUUCAUUUUGACAGACACACCCAUUAUAAAAUGGCUGCUCCAAUGAAGCGCAGGGUGAUUCUGGGACCAAACAACUCCCAAAAUUGGGUCCUUCCCAAUGGGAUGCCUGCGUCUGUUGGUGAACUUUCAGACCAAGUAAAGAAAUAGUGUGGAGUAGAUGGGGACUUCAGGCUUAAAUAUAUGGAUGGUGAUUUCGGGAAUUAAUUCAUCAACUUGCUCUCAACAUCAGAUGUGAAGGUAAAGUAAUCCUUACUUCUACCACCAGCUCUGAUAGUCCUGUUGCACUUGGAAUGCCUGAUGACAUUGUAACCUUAACCCUGUUGCCUCCUUCCCAAGCAAGCACCACAUCCCAUUUUUUGAACAGCUCCCUGUCGGUGUCUCAGUGUGACACAAAUAUACUGUCAUCUCCUGAAUCCACCACCUAUCGCACUCCACGUCCUCAAGGUCCGCUGGACGGCCUAGUGGCAUCUUCCCAGUGCCUCGGUUUUCUUAUGAUACAGAGCUGGAGCUGGAAAAGGCGAAUGCUGCUUUCCAGAAGGAUGGUACAUUGCAUAAUCCUAGGCAUAAACUUAAAUGUGCCAUCCUUGAUGGCUUAAUAGAGGAGAUCAUAAAGUUUAAAAUAUACCUCUGACUUAGCCAAUGCCGCCUCAGCCCUUGUAAAACCCCAUCCUUGUUUAAGAGAGCCAGGGUCAGUCUGUGGUUAUGAUGGAUGGAAGGUGAGCCUACAGUUUAAGCUUGGAAACUUCAGGAGGCAACUUCGGGAGCUUGAAACUCCAGAGGUUACUGUCAAUGCCCUCAAAAACAAACCUAAUGGCAAAUGCAGUCCUGCCUACAGAAAAACUAAGACAGGCUGAAGUCAAUUACUACCCCAAUUACCAAUCAGGUGAAACAACGGAGACACUGGAGCAGAUGAGAGUGCUUCUGCUUGCAGAAGUGAAGAAAAGACACAAUGAGGAGAAUGUCAAAAAAAUGAUAGACAAGACAUUUGCUCUGAGAAGAUGGGAGAUUGUUCAAGACUCUCCUCUGAUUGUGAAUUUUAAAUUGAGGUGGCCAGCUCUAUUUCAAGUGAAUGAGGUCAGUGGAACAUAAGUAUAGGACCAUCCCAUGUUUUUAAUUACUGAAAAAGAUUGAAUCAAAAUACAUUUUGUGUAAUUGUCUUUCUUUAAAUAUGUGCUUGUAGCUGGAGGCGGAGUUCAAAUGAAUAACCGCAGUCCAUCUGCAGUCCCAAUUCUUUUCGAGGCUGGACUUGCUUGCCGAGAACCUGAUGGGGGUGUAUGCUAAGAAAGGUGGUGUUGCCGGAAGAAAAAUAAGAUCCAUUAUGGCACGCAUGUCCCAGAAUGAAACCAUUAACAUCAAAUGUGAAUGCCUCCUCCGUAGUCUUUGUGUUUACUUGAAUGAGGAUCCAGAACACCUUGUGAAAGAAUACAAGGCUACUGGUGAAGAAGACUUUCCAGGGGAGAUGGCAGAAAUGGCCAUGGCCAUUUUUGUCAUUACACACAAGGGUGUAGAGCCCAGAGAACCCAUCAAACAUUGGAAUCUUCAUGGAGGGGGUGGAGGUCCUUAGUGAGUUGAGCAGCGUGCCUUUGGCAGUAGCCAUGUUUCUGGGUCUCACAUAUACACUUAACCUGAGCUACCCAUCAGUGCACAGAUACACUUUUGAAGCUCUUCAAAAGAUUGUUAUGCAAACAGAUGACAAAAAACUAUCGACAAAAGUGCAAACACUAAAAAAAACAAGCUUCACAUUAGUGAGAAGCAUUUUUUUUUCUUUCACUUUUUAAACUUGUAAAAUUUUGGAAUAUUGAUGUGAAAGAGAGACACUUUCCAAAUAUGUGCAUUUUAUUCUGUGAAAUGUUAAAGGACAUGCAAUGCACUUUGUUUAAUUUAAUGUGAAGCAGAUUGAUAUUUAGUUUUGCUUUAAAAUGUUUAAAAUUCCAUGUUUACAGAGAAUGUUUUCCAUUUAAAUGACAGAAUCUGUCAUUAGGUUUAUAGUUACAUGUUUAUUGAAUGAACCACUUAUGCCUUAUGACUCUGUGCACUUGUGCCACUUGUGUGUGAUGUACCUCAUUCUGCUGUGUGGACAGAAGCACUUUUGAAACGUGUCCAUUUAUUCUGUGAUUUUUUAAAAUACAUGUUUUCUG
This is a long non-coding RNA of Anguilla anguilla (European eel), 2881 nucleotides long. RefSeq lists it as uncharacterized. Lineage: Eukaryota; Metazoa; Chordata; Actinopteri; Anguilliformes; Anguillidae. The transcript is spliced from 4 exons. The record is from RefSeq and is a predicted model, not a curated record.